UACGGAGGGUGCGAGCGUUAAUCGGAAUUACUGGGCGUAAAGCGCGCGUAGGCGGCGUGUUAAGCCGGUUGUGAAAGCCUCGGGCUCAACCUGGGACCGGCAUCCGGAACUGUCAGGCUAGAGUGCAGGAGGGGAAGGUAGAAUUCCCGGUGUAGCGGUGAAAUGCGUAGAGAUCGGGAGGAAUACCAGUGGCGAAGGCGGCAUUCUGGACUGACACUGACGCUGAGGUGCGAAAGCGUGGGUAGCAAACAUG
This 253-nucleotide unclassified non-coding RNA is filed under the name uncultured Halomonadaceae bacterium. RNAcentral's name for it is "contains 16S-23S intergenic spacer region". It matches the Rfam family "Bacterial small subunit ribosomal RNA", at positions 524 to 776 of the family's 1533-position model. The record is from RNAcentral. Lineage: Bacteria; Pseudomonadati; Pseudomonadota; Gammaproteobacteria; Oceanospirillales; Halomonadaceae.